GCCAGACUCCUACGGGAGGCAGCAGUCGGGAAUAUUGCGCAAUGGAGGAAACUCUGACGCAGUGACGCCGCGUAUAGGACGAAGGUCUUCGGAUUGUAAACUAUUGUCGUUAGGGAAGAGAAAGGACAGUACCUAAGGAGGAAGCUCCGGCUAACUACGUGCCAGCAGCCGCGGUAAUACGUAGGGAGCAAGCGUUAUCCGGAUUUACUGGGUGUAAAGGGAGCGUAGACGGCAUGGCAAGCCAGAUGUGAAAUACCGGGGCUCAACCCCGGGACUGCAUUUGGAACUGUUAAGCUGGAGUGUCGGAGAGGCAGGCGGAAUUCCUAGUGUAGCGGUGAAAUGCGUAGAUAUUAGGAGGAACACCAGUGGCGAAGGCGGCCUGCUGGACGAUAACUGACGUUGAGGCUCGAAAGCGUGGGGAGCAAACAGGAUUAGAUACCCUUGUAACC
RNAcentral lists this ribosomal RNA (449 nucleotides) under uncultured bacterium. RNAcentral's name for it is "bacterial SSU rRNA". It matches the Rfam family "Bacterial small subunit ribosomal RNA", at positions 330 to 795 of the family's 1533-position model. The record is from RNAcentral.